GUCUACAGCCAUACCGCCCUGAACGUUACCAAUCUCAUCUGAUCUCAAAAGCUAAGCAGGGUCACGCCUGGUUAGUACUUGGGUGGGAGGAUGUGGUAAGUGCAAUGCUUGAUGAGC
This is a ribosomal RNA of Panthera pardus (leopard), 117 nucleotides long. NCBI's taxonomy places the organism in Eukaryota, Metazoa, Chordata, Mammalia, Carnivora, Felidae. The record is from Ensembl.